Small nuclear RNA from Myotis myotis, 108 nucleotides. NCBI's taxonomy places the organism in Eukaryota, Metazoa, Chordata, Mammalia, Chiroptera, Vespertilionidae. The record is from RefSeq and is a predicted model, not a curated record.
GUCCUCACUUUGGCAGCACAUAUACUAAAACUGGAACAAUACAGAGAAGAUUGGCAUGGCCCCUGUGCAAGGAUGCCAUGAAAAAAGAAAAAAAAAAAAGAAUGAGAU